CCGAGCCCAGGGCGGUUAUGCCUUCGCCGCCGCCGCCAUCCGCCAGCGAGGCCAUCGUAGACGCUGGAGACAACACGUGAGCACUCCAUUUCAACACAAUUUGGUGAGUAAUUCAGCAUGCAUGUCAUUAGUUUUCCGAGUCGGCGGAAGGGCCCGUAAACAUUGUGGUGCUCCUACAAACAAAUUUGUCAUGCCCAGUGCUGGAGCCGAGGGAUUUUUCUCUUGAUUAAAUCAGCUGCCCACAUGA
Long non-coding RNA from Hippocampus comes (tiger tail seahorse), 247 nucleotides. RefSeq lists it as uncharacterized. The transcript is spliced from 2 exons. The record is from RefSeq and is a predicted model, not a curated record. NCBI's taxonomy places the organism in Eukaryota, Metazoa, Chordata, Actinopteri, Syngnathiformes, Syngnathidae.